Molecule: long non-coding RNA, 3439 nt
Organism: Leucoraja erinaceus (little skate)
Lineage: Eukaryota; Metazoa; Chordata; Chondrichthyes; Rajiformes; Rajidae
Exons: 2
Source: RefSeq, a predicted model, not a curated record
AUAGGGGGUGUUGUGGAUAAUGAAGAGGAUUUCCAAAGUCUACAGAGUGAUUUAGGCCAUUUGGAAAAAUGGGCUGAAAGAUGGCAGAUGGAGUUUAAUGCUGAUAAAUGUGAGGUGCUACACCUUGGCAGGACAAAUCAAAAUAGGACAUACAUGGUAAAUGGUAGGGAAUUGAAGAAUACAGUUGAACAGAGGGAUCUGGGUAUAACCGUGCAUAGUUCCUUGAAGGUGGAAUCUCAUAUAGAUAGGGUGGUAAAGAAAGCUUUUGGUAUGCUAGCCUUUAUAAAUCGGAGCAUUGAGUAUAGAAGCUGGGAUGUAAUGUUAAAAUUGUACAAGGCAUUGGUGAGACCAAAUCUGGAGUAUGGGGUACAAUUUUGGUCGCCAAAUUAUAGGAAGGAUGUCAACAUAAUAGAGAGAGUACAGAGGAGAUUUACUAGAAUGUUGCCUGGGUUUCAACAACUAAGUUACAGAGAUAGGUUGAAUAAGUUAGGUCUUUAUUCUCUGGAGCGCAGAAGGUUAAGGGGGGACCUGAUAGAGGUCUUUAAAAUGAUGAGAGGGAUAGACAGAGUUGAUGUGGACAAGCUUUUCCCUUUGAGAAUAGGGAAGAUUCAAACAAGGGGACAUGACUUCAGAAUUAAGGGACAGAAGUUUAGGGGUAAUAUGAGGGGGAACUUCUUUACGCAGAGAGUGGUGGCGGUGUGGAAUGAGCUCCCAGUGGAAGUGGUGGAGGCAGGUUCAUUGGUAUCAUUUAAAAAUAAAUUGGAUAGGCAUAUGGAUGGGAAGGGAAUGGAGGGUUAUGGUACGAGUGCAGGCAGGUGGGACUAAGGGGAAAACAUUUUGUUUCGGCAUGGACUUGUAGGGCCGAGAUGGCCUGUUUCCGUGCUGUAAUUGUUAUAUGGUUAUAUGGUUAUUCUGCCAUGUAUAUGUUGGCAUAAGCUGGGGCAAACGUCUUUCCCAUUGCUGUACCUUUGACUUGUAAAUAGAACUCCCCGUUAAAUUCAAAGUCAUUCUUAGUCAAACCCAGAUCCAAUAGUUUAAUUAGGGCCUCGUCUGGUCUAUCUGGGUCAGGAUUUCUCUGUAGGAUGUUUUUAACUGCCUGUAUCCCCCUGUCCAUCUCUAUGUUUGUGUACAGGCUUUCCACAUCCAUGGUGAAGAGUAUUGCGUUGGGUGGUAUGUUGAGGGAGUUAACUAUUUGGGUGAAGUGGUAGGUGUCCUUGAUGUAGCUGGGAUGUUGUUGUGCCAGUGGGUUAAGGUAGUGGUCAAUGUAUUCUGGUACCCCAUAGGAUUCGUUACUGCAAUCUGAUACUAUGGGCCUACCUGGUGGUAUUUCUCCAGGCACUGUCCACUUGUCUGGGUUUUUGUGUAUCUUUGGGAGCAUGUAGAAUUUCCUUGCCCUGGGUUGUGCUCCUGUCAAGUAUUCUACUUGUUUGUCUAGGAUGUAUCCUGAUCUCUUAAGCUCCUCCAAAAUGUCCCCUAUUUCCUUUUGUGUUUCUUUAUAUAUGGGCUCAUCUAACUUAGUGUAGUGUUCUAUCUUGUUCAGUUGUCCAUGUGCCUCGAAGAGAUACUGUUUUCUGUCCAUGAUGACUAUACUGCUCCCCUUGUCUGCUGGUUUGAUAAUAAUAAUAAUAAUAAUAAUAUUUAUUUAUAUAGCACUUUUCAACAAAACCAGUAUUUGAACCAAAGUGCUUUACAGAGGUUGAUUAAAUUAAUUGAACAGAUCAAUGCAAUAAAUCCAUACAAAUCAAAAAAGAGAAAAAAGAGAAUAAGAAAAAAGACACAGAAACAGUACACUAUAGAAAUCAACAUGAAACGUCCCCCCACAGCAGAAUUCACUGUGAGGGAAGGCACUAAAAAUAUCCAGUUCUCCCCCUCAUAGUCCACCCGAGGUCGGGGCCUAUAUCUGGCCUCCUCAGCCAACCCGGUGUCUUCAGGCCCUCCUGCCGCGAAGCUGGAUCAUCGGCGUCGGUGAACAUCCAUCAGCGGCCUGGACUGAAGCGGCCGCUUUCCGACGCGAAGACUGCAACGACCAAAGUUCACAGGCCGCGCCGGCCGAACCCCCGACUCUGGCGAUCUCGGAUCCCAGGCUCCGCGGUGCUGUCGACGGUCACAGUGCCCCGGAGCUUACCGCAAGGCGACGCGGUAAGGCAUCGCCCGCUCCUUGUAGGUGUCCCAGCAUCUACACCGCCGUCGAAGCUGCAGUCCCAGCAGGAAACGCCGCUCCAGCGCUGCUCCAGUUCGUUCGUAGGCCGCACAGAGAGGACGAAGAUGCGGUUCGGAGAAAAACCGCAUCUCCGACCAGGUAGGACUGGGGUUAAAAAUAAUUUCCCCCUUCCCCUCCCCCACCCACCACAUAAAAGAAGACCUCCAAGAAACACCUCAUAUUAACAGGACUAAAAAUAAAAAUAAAUAAGGGUGAAAGGACUAUUUUGUUGUUCUCCUUCAGCUCUGUCAAGGCCUGCCUCUCUUUUCUGGUGAUAACCAUAUAACCAUAUAACAAUUACAGCACGGAAACAGGCCAUCUCGGCCCUACAAGCCCAUGCCGAACAAAUUUUGUUCCCCUUAGUCCCACCUGCCUGCACUCGUACCAUAAUCCUCCAUUCCCUUCUCAUCCAUAUGCCUAUCCAAUUUAUUUUUAAAUGAUACCAAUGAACCUGCCUCCACCAAUUCCACUGGGAGCUCAUUCCCCACCGCCACCACUCACUGCGUAAAGAAGUUCCCCCUCAUAUUACCCCUAAACUUCUGUCCCUUAAUUCUGAAAUCAUGUCCUCUUGUUUGAAUCUUCCCUAUUCUCAAAGGGAAAAGCUUGUCCACAUCAACUCUGUCUAUCCCUCUCAUCAUUUUAAAGACCUCUAUCAGGUCCCCCCUUAACCUUCUGUGAUGUUAGACUUAUCUUUCGUUCUAGGCAUAUCCCGCAAGCUGCUGCGCUGUUCAGGCCCAGUCUCUGAGGUCAGGUUCAAAACUCAAUGUCUAAGGUCCUCCAUUCUGAUUUUAAAUUUAUCUCCCAAAUUUUCUCUUAUUCCAGAUUAGGGCCUUGGUGACAGCCUCCUGCACACGAUCAGUGGGCUGGCCCUGGCGGUAUUCAACAUCCAAAUAUUCCAGACUGUUUUGCUCGCGGAGACCGCUUGCCGAAUUCUUCCCGACUGGGCAACGAUUUUCCAGUUUCGCUAUCUCUGUAGCUUCUUCAGGGAAAGAGAUCUAAUUCUCGUCGGUUAGGGUUUUUAAGGGGUAGGUUGAUGUCCCUCCCUUUCUGGGUGGAGCUUCCCAUGUGUUCGGUCCUAGGACCGGUCACUUUGGUUGGGCUCACCCUGUUCUUUGUUUGGACUGGUUGGUCCACUUCCAUUGUUUGUAAUGUUACCAAAUGCAUCUGGUAUCUUGUAUCAUUUGUUGCUAGUGUUUUCAGCCUCUCUUGAUCAAUAAAUGUCCAAAUUCCUCUUGUCCA